RNAcentral lists this ribosomal RNA (443 nucleotides) under uncultured bacterium. RNAcentral's name for it is "bacterial SSU rRNA". It matches the Rfam family "Bacterial small subunit ribosomal RNA", at positions 958 to 1401 of the family's 1533-position model. The record is from RNAcentral.
AACGCGAAGAACCUUACCUAUCCUUGACAUCCUCGGAACCUGGCAGAAACGCUGGGGUGCCUUCGGGAACCGAGAGACAGGUGCUGCAUGGCUGUCGUCAGCUCGUGUCGUGAGAUGUUGGGUUAAGUCCCGUAACGAGCGCAACCCUUAUCCUUAGUUGCCAACAGGUAAAGCUGGGAACUCUAGGGAGACUGCCGGUGACAAGCCGGAGGAAGGUAGGGACGACGUCAAGUCCUCAUGGCCCUUACGGAUAGGGCUACACGCGUGUUACAAUGGACGGUACAAAGGGCAGCGAAACUGCAAAGUGGAGCGAAUCCUAUCAAAGCCGUUCGUAGUCCGGAUUGGAGUCUGCAACUCGACUCCAUGAAGUUGGAAUCGCUAGUAAUCGUGGAUCAGAACGCCACGGUGAAUACGUUCCCGGGCCUUGUACACACCGCUACAGU